RNAcentral lists this ribosomal RNA (372 nucleotides) under uncultured bacterium. RNAcentral describes it as "bacterial SSU rRNA". It matches the Rfam family "Bacterial small subunit ribosomal RNA", at positions 525 to 896 of the family's 1533-position model. The record is from RNAcentral.
ACGAGGGGGGCAAGUGUUGUUCGGAAUCACUGGGCGUAAAGGGAGCGUAGGCGGGAAUUUAAGUUGGAUGUUUAAACCUGGGGCCCAACCCCAGCUCGGCAUCCAAAACUGGGUUUCUUGAAUAGUGGAGAGGUAGAUGGAAUUUCCGGUGUAGCGGUGGAAUGCGUAGAUAUCGGAAAGAACACCAGUUGCGAAGGCGAUCUACUGGACACAUAUUGACGCUGAGGCUCGAAAGCAUGGGGAGCAAACAGGAUUAGAUACCCUGGUAGUCCAUGCCGUAAACGAUGAAUACUAGGUCUAGGACUUAUCAACGGUCCUGAGCCGUAGCUAACGCAUUAAGUAUUCCGCCUGGGGAGUACGGUCGCAAGACUG